This is a ribosomal RNA of Protopterus annectens (West African lungfish), 154 nucleotides long. RefSeq annotates it as 5.8S ribosomal RNA. The record is from RefSeq and is a predicted model, not a curated record. NCBI's taxonomy places the organism in Eukaryota, Metazoa, Chordata, Ceratodontiformes, Protopteridae. The transcript has a single exon.
AUGACUGAGUGAUGGAUCACUCAGCUCAUGCGUCGACGAAGAACGCAGCUAGCUGUGAGAACUAAUGUGAAUUGGAGGACACGUUGAUCAUCGACACUUAGAACUCACUUUGUGGCCCUGGGUUACUCCCAGGGCUAUGCCUGCCUGAGGGUUG